Long non-coding RNA from Oryzias melastigma (Indian medaka), 1524 nucleotides. RefSeq lists it as uncharacterized. The transcript has 6 exons. The record is from RefSeq and is a predicted model, not a curated record. NCBI's taxonomy places the organism in Eukaryota, Metazoa, Chordata, Actinopteri, Beloniformes, Adrianichthyidae.
AUGACAUGUAAUACAUUUAUCAUUGUUGUAUCUUUGUGUUUAUUUGCUUUAAUUGAUUCAUUUGUUUAAUUUUUGUAAUUCUAAUUUUGGCUAAAUUAAGUUUGAUUUUGUUGAGUUCCAACGGCGUCUGUCUUUUAUUUCGAAAAAUCUUCCGUUUUCGAGUCACCAACUGACGGAGUUCCUGGAGGAGGAGGACGCUUAGAGAAGAGUGAUCUCCUACACCUGAACGGAGACUUUUCUUACAGAGCACUGGGAACAAAGACGGAUUUAGAAGAAAUAUCACAAAAGGAGAUGAUGGAGAACAUCGUUAAAGUGGACCGCAGAUUCUUUCAGAUGAGAGUCAGAAACGUUAUGAUUAGGCACUUUCUAGACGCCGUAGACGAGAUUACAGUUCUCCGCUUGGACAACUCCACCUUGAAAAAACAGCUGGAAGCCUUGAAGAAGGUCAAUAGUGAAGAGCCGCAGGUUGAGGUCGAGCCCUGCAUGUGCUCUGCAGCCGAUGUCAACAGCUGCACUGAAAGAAAAGUUCAUGAUUUGGAGAAGGAAGUCAGCGAGUUAAAAGAACAAAAUAAACAACUAACUGAGCUGAUCAAAAUACUAGCAGGAGAAGACAUGAUGCCUUUAAGCACAAUCAGAGCAAUCUGUCAAAACCUGAAGGUAACAUCAUCAUUUAUAACACAUGGUCACUAACUGAAAAUGAAAAGAAAGUGCUUAAGACAUACUACGACAAGUAUGAGACCUACGUCAUGCCCAAAGCUAACAUAAUUUUUGCUCGUUAUAAAUUCCACUAAAAGGUCCAGGGAGCAAAUGAGGCAUUGGAACAGUUUGUAACAGACCUGAGACUUCUCGUAAAAGACUGUGCUUAUACAAACAGUGAAGAGAUGGUCCGUGAUCGAAUAGUGUUCGGCAUCCAUUCACCCAGCGUGAGAGAAAAACUACUGAGCGUUGGAUCCGAACUAACAUUGGAUAAAGCUGUGGAUAUUGCAAGGUCACAUGAAAUAGCUAAGGCACAAAUGAAGACCAUCUCUAGCAGCAGCAGCAACACGCGUGAGGACAUCGUACAUGCUGUUGGACAACAAGCAUCAAAGAAUCCACCUCGGAAAGACUGGCAAUUUAAAAAAAAAUACUCAGCCACGGACAAGCUACGGGAAAACACCGGAAUGCCGAGAGGAUGCGGAUAUUGUGGAAACCGACACGGUAAUGAGGAAAGAUGCCCGGCUAAAGGUAGGCAAUGCAAAAGCUGUGGAAAAUUGAAUCAUUUCUCAAAAGUGUGUCAUUCCAAACAAAACAGAUCACAGAUCACAAUACUAGCAGGAGAAGACAUGUCUUUAAGCACAAUGGAAGCAAUCUGUCAAAACCUGAAGGUAACAUCAUCAAGGGCUUCGUUUAAUUCUAUGCACUCAUACAUGUCAGUUUAACUGUUGCAGGUUAAAGACACACUAAGAUGAAAGUUGUGUUUUUGGUCUUUUAAAUAUAUUCUUGAGGCAUUUUUCAGAUGUUUGAAAACUUAAGGAUAAAAUUGAA